This 468-nucleotide ribosomal RNA is filed under the name uncultured bacterium. Its description in RNAcentral is "partial 16S ribosomal RNA". It matches the Rfam family "Bacterial small subunit ribosomal RNA", at positions 28 to 507 of the family's 1533-position model. The record is from RNAcentral.
GACGAACGCUGGCGGCGUGCUUAACACAUGCAAGUCGAACGGAAAGGCCCUGCUUUUGUGGGGUGCUCGAGUGGCGAACGGGUGAGUAACACGUGAGUAACCUGCCCUUUACUUUGGGAUAACUUCAGGAAACUGGUGCUAAUACCGGAUAGGAGCUCCUGCUGCAUGGUGGGGGUUGGAAAGUUUCGGCGGUUGGGGAUGUACUCGCGGCUUAUCAGCUUGUUGGUGGGGUAGUGGCUUACCAAGGCUUUGACGGGUAGCCGGCCUGAGAGGGUGACCGGCGACAUUGGGACUGAGAUACGGAACAGACUACUACGGGAGGCAGCAAUGGGGAAUAUUGCAAAAGGGGCGGAAGCCUGAUGCAGAAACGCGGCGUGCGGGAUGAAGGCCUUCGGGUUGUAAACCGCUGUCGCCUGUGACGAAGAGUGAGUGACGGUAAUGGGUAAAGAAGCACCGGCUAACUACGUG